UGUUUUUAUAGUGGAGGGUAAGGGUUAGUGGUGAGGGUUUUACCAGUCUAGUUUUUAUAGUGGAGGGUUAGUGGUGAGCGUUUAACCAGUCUAGUUUUUAUCGUGUAGGGUAAGGGUUAGUGGUAAGGGUUUAACCAGUCUAGUUUUUAUAGUGGAGGGUAAGGGUUAGUGGUGAGGGUUUAACCAGUCUAGUUGUUAUAGUGGAGGGUAAGGGUUAGUGGUGAGGGUUUUACCAGUCUAGUUUUUAUAGUGGAGGGUUAGUGGUGAGGGUUUAACCAGUGUAGUUUUUAUAGUGGAGGGUAAGGGUUAGUGGUGAGGGUUUUACCAGUCUAGUUUUUAUAGUGGAG
This is a long non-coding RNA of Oncorhynchus tshawytscha (Chinook salmon), 347 nucleotides long. The record is from Ensembl. NCBI's taxonomy places the organism in Eukaryota, Metazoa, Chordata, Actinopteri, Salmoniformes, Salmonidae.